AAUCAACGCUGGCGGGUGCCUAACACAUCCAAGUCGAACGCGAAAGCCCCGCAAGGGGUUAGUAGAGUGCAAACGGGUGAGUAACACGUGGGUGACCUGCCUUCGAGUGGGGGAUAACGUCCCGAAAGGGACGCUAAUACCGCAUAACAUCCUGCCUUUGAAGAGGUGGAGAUCAAAGCUGGGGACCGCAAGGCCUGGCGCUCAAAGAGGGGCCCGCGUCUGAUUAGCUAGUUGGUGAGGUAAUGGCUCACCAAGGCAACGAUCAGUAUCCGGCCUGAGAGGGCGGACGGACACACUGGGACCGAGACACGGCCCAGACUCCUACGGGAGGCAGCAGUGGGGAAUUGUUCGCAAUGGGCGCAAGCCUGACGACGCAACGCCGCGUGGAGGAUGAAGACCUUCGGGUCGUAAACUCCUUUCGAUCGAGACGAAUGGCCCUUGGGUUAACAGCCCAGGGGUAUGACGGUACCGAGAGAAGAAGCCC
This 484-nucleotide ribosomal RNA is filed under the name uncultured Acidobacteriota bacterium. Its description in RNAcentral is "bacterial SSU rRNA". It matches the Rfam family "Bacterial small subunit ribosomal RNA", at positions 32 to 493 of the family's 1533-position model. Lineage: Bacteria; Pseudomonadati; Acidobacteriota. The record is from RNAcentral.